UACGUAGGGUGCAAGCGUUGCCCGGAAUUAUUGGGCGUAAAGAGCUCGUAGGCGGCCUGUUGCGUCCGCUGUGAAAGCCCGGGGCUUAACCCCGGGUCUGCAGUGGAUACGGGCAGGCUAGAGGUAGGUAGGGGAGAAUGGAAUUCCCGGUGUAGCGGUGAAAUGCGCAGAUAUCGAGAGGAACACCUGCGGCGAAGGCGGGUUGCUGGGCUGACACUGACGCUGAGGCGCGAAAGCCAGGGGAGCGAACGGG
This 253-nucleotide ribosomal RNA is filed under the name uncultured bacterium. RNAcentral describes it as "partial 16S ribosomal RNA". It matches the Rfam family "Bacterial small subunit ribosomal RNA", at positions 524 to 776 of the family's 1533-position model. The record is from RNAcentral.